This is a long non-coding RNA of Candoia aspera, 395 nucleotides long. RefSeq lists it as uncharacterized. NCBI's taxonomy places the organism in Eukaryota, Metazoa, Chordata, Lepidosauria, Squamata, Candoiidae. The record is from RefSeq and is a predicted model, not a curated record. The transcript is spliced from 3 exons.
AUAUUUUUCCUUUGCUUAUUCUUCAUAGCCUGCUUCCUUGUUCUUGCUUUUGUUCAUCCUUUCCCCUUUCCCUCCCUCCCCAUAACAAUUAGGUAAUUACUGCUGCUUAUCAACUUGCAGAGCUGAAGAAUGCUGAAAGCACAACUGAUCUAUUAAUGCUUCCCCAAGUCAGCUAAUCCUGAGAAAAUCCAUUGAAGAGGAAAAGACAGAGUAGCUGCACAGUGUCAUGAAACUGGAAGUAUCCUAUAUUGUCUGUCUUUUGUGGAAGCUAUGGAUCUGAUCCUGAAUGGAAUUCUCUGGAGAUUAUACAGUGCUGUCACUAGGGGCUUAUGAUUACCACCAAGUCCUGGCUUCUUGUUGCAAUCUUGAGUUUUUUGGCAAAUGUGGAAGCCCUA